This 460-nucleotide ribosomal RNA is filed under the name uncultured bacterium. RNAcentral describes it as "partial 16S ribosomal RNA". It matches the Rfam family "Bacterial small subunit ribosomal RNA", at positions 338 to 795 of the family's 1533-position model. The record is from RNAcentral.
CCUACGGGCGGCAGCAGUGAGGAAUAUUGGUCAAUGGACGAGAGUCUGAACCAGCCAAGCAGCGUGAAGGAUGACUGCCCUCGGGUUUGUAACCUCUUUUUAUAUGGGAAUAAAGUACAGUAUGUCUACUGUUUUGUACGUACCUUAUGAAUAAGGAUCGGCUCACUACGUGCCAGCAGCCGCGGUAAUCCGGAGGUUCAGAGCGUUAUCCGGAUUUAGUGGGUUUAAAGGGAGCGUAGAUGGGUUGUUAAGUCAGUUGUGAAAGUUGGCGGCUCAACCGUAAAAUUGCAAUUGAUACUGGCAGUCUUGAGUACAGUUGAGGUAGGCGGAAUUCGUGGUGUAGCGGUGAAAUGCUUAGAUAUCACGAAGAACACCGAUUGCGAAGGCAGCUUACUAGACUGCCACUGACAUUGAGGCUCGAAAGUGUGGGGAGCAAACAGGAUUAGAUACCCGGGUAGUC